GACGAACGCUGGCGGCGUGCUUAACACAUGCAAGUCGAACGGAAAGGCCCUGCUUUUGUGGGGUGCUCGAGUGGCGAACGGGUGAGUAACACGUGAGUAACCUGCCCUUGACUUUGGGAUAACUUCAGGAAACUGGGGCUAAUACCGGAUAGGAGCUCCUGCUGCAUGGUGGGGGUUGGAAAGUUUCGGCGGUUGGGGAUGGACUCGCAGCUUAUCAGCUUGUUGGUGGGGUAGUGGCUUACCAAGGCUUUGACGGGUAGCCGGCCUGAGAGGGUGACCGGCCACAUUGGGACUGAGAUGCGGCCCAGACUCCUACGGGAGGCAGCAGUGGGGAAUAUUGCACAAUGGGCGGAAGCCUGAUGCAGCAACGCCGCGUGCGGGAUGACGGCCUUCGGGUUGUAAACCGCUUUCGCCUGUGACGAAGCGUGAGUGACGGUAAUGGGUAAAGAAGCACCGGCUAACUACGUG
RNAcentral lists this ribosomal RNA (468 nucleotides) under uncultured bacterium. Its description in RNAcentral is "partial 16S ribosomal RNA". It matches the Rfam family "Bacterial small subunit ribosomal RNA", at positions 28 to 507 of the family's 1533-position model. The record is from RNAcentral.